CUACGGGGUGCUCCAGUGAGGAAUUUUGCGCAAUGGGGGAAACCCUGACGCAGCAACGCCGCGUGAGUGAAGAAGGCCUUUGGGUCGUAAAGCUCUGUCAACUGGGAAGAAGUUAGAGGUAUUAAAUAGGUAUCUCUAUUGACGGUACCAGUGGAGGAAGCGCCGGCUAACUCCGUGCCAGCAGCCGCGGUAACACGGGGGGCGCAAGCGUGAUUCGGAAUUAUUGGGCGUAAAGGGCGCGCAGGCGGUCUUGUCAGUCAGGUGUGAAAGCCCGGGGCUCAACCCUGGAAGUGCACUUGAAACAGCAAGACUUGAAUACGGGAGAGGAAAGCGGAAUUCCUGGUGUAGAGGUGAAAUCCGUAGAUAUCAGGAGGUACACCGAUGGCGAAGGCAGCUUUCUGGACCGAUAUUGACGCUGAGGCGCGAAGGCGUGGGUAGCGAACGGGAUUAGAUACCCCCGUAGUC
This 465-nucleotide ribosomal RNA is filed under the name uncultured bacterium. Its description in RNAcentral is "partial 16S ribosomal RNA". It matches the Rfam family "Bacterial small subunit ribosomal RNA", at positions 339 to 795 of the family's 1533-position model. The record is from RNAcentral.